AGCAGCCGCGGUAAUUCCAGCUCCAAUAGCGUAUAUUAAAGUUGUUGCAGUUAAAAAGCUCGUAGUUGAAUUUCGGGAUCAAUAUGUUGGUCGUGCCUUGGUACGUACUGGCAUUAUUGGUUCCUACCUUCUGAAGAACCUCGAUGUCAUUAAUUUGGUGUCUUGGGGAAUCAGGACUGUUACUUUGAAAAAAUUAGAGUGUUUAAAGCAGGCUCGCGCUUGAAUACAUUAGCAUGGAAUAAUGAAAUAGGACGUUUGAUUCUAUUUUGUUGGUUUCUAGGAUCGACGUAAUGAUUAAUAGGGAUAGUUGGGGGCAUUAGUAUUCAAUUGCCAGAGGUGAAAUUCUUGGAUUUAUUGAAGACUGACUACUGCGAAAGCAUUUGCCAAGGAUGUUUUCAUUAAUCAAGAACGAAAGUUAGGGGAUCGAAGACGAUCAGAUACCGUCGUAGU
RNAcentral lists this ribosomal RNA (450 nucleotides) under uncultured Glomeromycotina. Its description in RNAcentral is "SSU rRNA". It matches the Rfam family "Eukaryotic small subunit ribosomal RNA", at positions 569 to 1024 of the family's 1831-position model. Lineage: Eukaryota; Fungi; Glomeromycota. The record is from RNAcentral.